Molecule: ribosomal RNA, 347 nt
Filed under: Amphelasma cavum
Lineage: Eukaryota; Metazoa; Arthropoda; Insecta; Coleoptera; Chrysomelidae
Description: partial 12S ribosomal RNA
Source: RNAcentral
UUAAAUUUAAUCUGCCUAUUAAAUUAUUAUUAGUAAUGGUCUUUAAAAUUAAAAAAUUUGGCGGUAUUUUAGUCUUUUUAGAGGAACCUGUUCUAUAAAUGAUAAUCCACGAUUUUAUAAACUUUUAUUAUUAAUUUGUAUAUCGUCGUAUUUAAAUAUUUUUUUAGGAUAAUAAUAUUUAUAAUUUUUAUAAAAAAAAAAUAAUCAAAUCAAGGUGCAGUUUAUAUAAAAGUAGAAAUGGGUUACAGUAAAUUUAUUUAUGGAUUUUAAAUAUUAUUAUAAAAUGAAAUUGGAUUUAAAUGUAAUAUUAAUUAAUUUAUUAGUAUGAUUUUAGCUCUAAAAUAUGU